This is a long non-coding RNA of Bactrocera oleae (olive fruit fly), 802 nucleotides long. RefSeq lists it as uncharacterized. NCBI's taxonomy places the organism in Eukaryota, Metazoa, Arthropoda, Insecta, Diptera, Tephritidae. The record is from RefSeq and is a predicted model, not a curated record.
UUGAUUUAAAAUAUUUGUCAAUUCUAAAAUACUUUUCCGUGGCUCGCAAAAAUCUACGUCGAUAUGAUGACAAGCAGAUUAUCUAUAAAUUAAAUACAUAUAUGCAGAGUCGUUUGCGCAUUAUAAAUUAACGAAUCUGCAAGCGUACAUUUUUAACAUUGGAAUGAGCAUUUUGUUUUCAAUUAACACUGAAAAUGCUCAAUUCUGCUAUUUUUAAGUCCCCUAAUAAUAAAACUGAGAACAAAAUAGUGGACAGUUGUGUUAAAAUAGCAAAAAGUGAUUGUUGGCUUUGAAUUUGCAAUUUACUUUCGUGCCAAGAUUAUUGAAUCUGUGCAAGCGUCACAAUCCUACAAUGGAAAUAUUGUAGUACAGCGAAAUUCACGCAAUGUGAAAUGUUUUCCCUUCUACAGUAUCUAGGCGACUUAACAGUCUUUAAGUUUCAUCUACACGACUGUUGGAGCACUACGUAUAGCAAAUUGAUUGUGAAAGCACACCACAUCUGAUGCAAAUCAUGCAAUUAAUGUUGCUUUUGCUGCCGCUGGUUAGUUCUGUAAUUGAAUCUUCUCUGAUAUGCUGGAGUUUUCAAAGAAUAUCUUGGAUAUACGACUUUUAUAUACACGAAUGAAUAUGCAACUUAUUUCAAGGAUAGAGUAAUACUCCUAUUUUAAGUUUAUAAACUUACUAAAUUAUUGUUAAGCUUGCAGAAAUAUGUGUAACAUAAAUGUACAUACAUAAGUAUGUAUUAACUUAGAUAUAGUGCAAUGAAUGCUCGCAACCUGUUGCUACAGAGUAUAAUAGUUUA